GAGAGAGAGAGAGAGAGAGAGAGAUAAUAGCACUCUCGGGACUUGGAAUAAGUAUAAAACUUAGCUUUUAAUUAGCUCUAAAAAUAGGUCAAUUAACCUAUUUUUAGAGCUAAUUAAAAGCUAAGUUUUAUACUUAUUCCAAGUCCUGAGAGUGCUAUCUGGAUUGUUUCUCUGUAUUUCAGCCU
This is a non-coding RNA of Pelobates cultripes (western spadefoot toad), 185 nucleotides long. The record is from the annotation of a GenBank genome assembly. Lineage: Eukaryota; Metazoa; Chordata; Amphibia; Anura; Pelobatidae.